RNAcentral lists this ribosomal RNA (460 nucleotides) under uncultured bacterium. Its description in RNAcentral is "partial 16S ribosomal RNA". It matches the Rfam family "Bacterial small subunit ribosomal RNA", at positions 338 to 795 of the family's 1533-position model. The record is from RNAcentral.
CCUACGGGUGGCAGCAGUGAGGAAUAUUGGUCAAUGGGCUUAAGCCUGAACCAGCCAAGUCGCGUGAGGGAAGAAUGCCCUAUGGGUUGUAAACCUCUUUUGCCAGGGAGCAAUGCCGGCUACGAGUAGCCGGACUGAGAGUACCUGAAGAAAAAGCAUCGGCUAACUCCGUGCCAGCAGCCGCGGUAAUACGGAGGAUGCGAGCGUUAUCCGGAUUUAUUGGGUUUAAAGGGUGCGUAGGCGGGAUGUCAAGUCAGCGGUAAAAUUGCGGGGCUCAACCCCGUCCCGCCGUUGAAACUGGGGUUCGUGAGUGGGCGAGAAGGAUGCGGAAUGCGUGGUGUAGCGGUGAAAUGCAUAGAUAUCACGCAGAACCCCGAUUGCGAAGGCAGCCUUCCGGCGCCCUACUGACGCUGAGGCACGAAAGCGUGGGGAUCGAACAGGAUUAGAUACCCUUGUAGUC